CAGCCGCCGCGGGAAAACGUAGGUGGCAAGCGUUGUCCGGAAUUAUUGGGCGUAAAGGGCUCGCAGGCGGUUUCUUAAGUCUGAUGUGAAAGCCCCCGGCUCAACCGGGGAGGGUCAUUGGAAACUGGGAAACUUGAGUGCAGAAGAGGAGAGUGGAAUUCCACGUGUAGCGGUGAAAUGCGUAGAGAUGUGGAGGAACACCAGUGGCGAAGGCGACUCUCUGGUCUGUAACUGACGCUGAGGAGCGAAAGCGUGGGGAGCGAACAGGAUUAGAUACCCCAGUAGUCCCUGUCUCUUAUAA
This 301-nucleotide ribosomal RNA is filed under the name uncultured bacterium. RNAcentral describes it as "partial 16S ribosomal RNA". It matches the Rfam family "Bacterial small subunit ribosomal RNA", at positions 509 to 809 of the family's 1533-position model. The record is from RNAcentral.